UGGGGAAUAUUGCACAAUGGGCGCAAGCCUGAUGCAGCCAUGCCGCGUGUGUGAAGAAGGCCUUCGGGUUGUAAAGCACUUUCAGCGAGGAGGAAGGUGGUGAGCUUAAUACGUUCAUCAAUUGACGUUACUCGCAGAAGAAGCACCGGCUAACUCCGUGCCAGCAGCCGCGGUAAUACGGAGGGUGCAAGCGUUAAUCGGAAUUACUGGGCGUAAAGCGCACGCAGGCGGUUUGUUAAGUCAGAUGUGAAAUCCCCGGGCUCAACCUGGGAACUGCAUUUGAAACUGGCAAGCUAGAGUCUCGUAGAGGGGGGUAGAAUUCCAGGUGUAGCGGUGAAAUGCGUAGAGAUCUGGAGGAAUACCGGUGGCGAAGGCGGCCCCCUGGACGAAGACUGACGCUCAGGUGCGAAAGCGUGGGGGAGCAAACA
This 428-nucleotide ribosomal RNA is filed under the name uncultured Serratia sp. RNAcentral's name for it is "bacterial SSU rRNA". It matches the Rfam family "Bacterial small subunit ribosomal RNA", at positions 355 to 774 of the family's 1533-position model. The record is from RNAcentral. Lineage: Bacteria; Pseudomonadati; Pseudomonadota; Gammaproteobacteria; Enterobacterales; Yersiniaceae.